RNAcentral lists this ribosomal RNA (292 nucleotides) under uncultured bacterium. RNAcentral's name for it is "partial 16S ribosomal RNA". The record is from RNAcentral.
GGACUACUAGGGUUUCUAAUCCUGUUUGCUCCCCACGCUUUCGCGCCUCAGCGUCAGAACCGGACCAGACAGCCGCCUUCGCCACUGGUGUUCUUGCGAAUAUCUACGAAUUUCACCUCUACACUCGCAGUUCCGCUGUCCUCUUCCGGUCUCAAGCCCGUCAGUAUCGAAGGCCAUUCUGUGGUUGAGCCACAGGCUUUCACCUCCGACUUGACAAGCCGCCUACGCGCCCUUUACGCCCAGUGAUUCCGAGCAACGCUAGCCCCCUUCGUAUUACCGCGGCGGCUGGCAC